This 301-nucleotide ribosomal RNA is filed under the name uncultured bacterium. Its description in RNAcentral is "partial 16S ribosomal RNA". It matches the Rfam family "Bacterial small subunit ribosomal RNA", at positions 509 to 807 of the family's 1533-position model. The record is from RNAcentral.
CAGCAGCCGCGGGAAUACGAAGGGGGCUAGCGUUGCUCGGAAUCACUGGGCGUAAAGGGAGCGUAGGCGGCGUGGUAAGUCAGAUGUGAUAUCCCGGGGCUCAACCCCGGAACUGCAUCCGAUACUGCCGUGCUAGAGGAUUGGAGAGGUAGCUGGAAUUCUUGGUGUAGCAGUGAAAUGCGUGGAGAUCAAGAGGAACACUCGUGGCGAAAGCGAGCUACUGGACAAUAUCUGACGCUGAGGCUCGAAGGCCAGGGUAGCGAAAGGGAUUAGAUACCCCGGUAGUCCCUGUCUCUUAUAC